Molecule: ribosomal RNA, 240 nt
Filed under: uncultured bacterium
Lineage: Bacteria
Description: partial 16S ribosomal RNA
Rfam family: Bacterial small subunit ribosomal RNA
Source: RNAcentral
GAUCCUGGCUCAGGAUGAACGCUAGCGGCAGGCUUAACACAUGCAAGUCGAGGGGCAGCAUAAUGGAUAGCAAUAUCUAUGGUGGCGACCGGCGCACGGGUGCGUAACGCGUAUGCAACCUACCUUUAACAGGGGGAUAACACUGAGAAAUUGGGUACUAAUACCCCAUAAUAUCAUAGAAGGCAUCUUUUAUGGUUUGAAAAUUCCGAUGGUUAAGAGAUGGGCAGUGCGUUGUAUUAG